AAAAAAAAAUUUAUUAAUAAUAAUAAGUUUAUUUUAAAUUUAAUAUAAAUAAAUUUAAUUUUUAAAUUUUUUGUAAAGUUUAUAGAUAUAAUAAUAUUUAUGAUAGUGAAUUAGUAUUGAGAAAGAAAAAUGAAAUAUAUGAAAAUUAUUUUAAAGUUAUAUUUAUUUUAUGUACCUUUUGUAUCAGGGUUUAUUAAAUAAAAAAAUAAUUAUUUAUUUUUCUCGAAUUUAAAAGAGCUAAAUUAAUAUGAUAGUUUAUGUUUUAUAAUAAUUAUAAAUAUUAAUUUAGUAAUGAAAUGUUAUUCGUUUUUAAAUAUAUCUAGUUUUUUAAGAAAUAAAUUUAAUUUAUAUAUUAAUUAUAUAAUUUUUUUAUUUUAAAAUAAAUUAUUAAUUAAUAUAAAUAUUUUAAGGGAUAAGCUUUAAUUUAUUGAAUUAUAAUUUAUAAAAAUUUAUAUAAAUUGUAGAUUUAGAAAUAGUCAUCAAUAAAGAUUUUGUAUUAAUUUAUUUUUAAUAAAAAUUAUUUAUAAAAAUUUAAUUUUAGUAUUAAAAUGUUAAUUUAAAUAAUAAAAAUUAAUUAAUAAUGAUAAAAUUAGUAUAUUAAAUUGUUUAUUUUAAAAUUAUUAUAAGAUUAAUUUAAGGAAUUCGGCAAUUAUAAUGUUCACCUGUUUAACAAAAACAUGUCUUUUAGAUAAUAAUUUAAAGUCUAACCUGCCCACUGAAUUAAUUUGAAGGGCCGCGGUAUUUUGACUGUGCAAAGGUAGCAUAAUCAUUAGUCUCUUAAUUAGAGGCUUGUAUGAAUGGUUGGAUGAAGCAUUAACUGUCUCAAAUUAAUUUAAUUAGAAUUUAAUUUUUAAGUUAAAAAGCUUAAAUAUAGUUAAAGGACGAGAAGACCCUAUAGAUCUUUAUAAUAAUUUAUAUUUAAAUUAAUUAGUUAAUAAUAAAUUAUUAUAUAAUUUAUUAUUUUAUUGGGGUGAUGUAUAAAUUUGAUAAACUUUAUUUAUUAACAACAUUAAUUUAUGAAUAAUUGAUCCAUUAAUAAUGAUUAAAAGAUUAAGUUACCUUAGGGAUAACAGCGUAAUUUUUUUAGAGAGUUCAUAUCGAUAAAAAAGAUUGCGACCUCGAUGUUGAAUUAAAGGUAAAUUUUAGGUGCAGAAGCUUAAAAUUUUGGUCUGUUCGACCAUUAAAACUUUACAUGAUUUGAGUUCAAACCGGCGUAAGCCAGGUUGGUUUCUAUCCUUAAUAAAAUAAAAUAUUUUAGUACGAAAGGACCAAAUAUUUAAAAAAAUUUUUUUAAUUAGAAUAUUAAUAAUA
RNAcentral lists this ribosomal RNA (1311 nucleotides) under Chloroniella peringueyi. Its description in RNAcentral is "16S ribosomal RNA". The stretch from base 1066 to 1225 matches the Rfam family "Archaeal large subunit ribosomal RNA", at positions 2544 to 2703 of the family's 2987-position model. The record is from RNAcentral. Lineage: Eukaryota; Metazoa; Arthropoda; Insecta; Megaloptera; Corydalidae.